This 447-nucleotide ribosomal RNA is filed under the name uncultured bacterium. RNAcentral describes it as "bacterial SSU rRNA". It matches the Rfam family "Bacterial small subunit ribosomal RNA", at positions 330 to 793 of the family's 1533-position model. The record is from RNAcentral.
GCCAGACUCCUACGGGAGGCAGCAGUGGGGAAUAUUGCACAAUGGGGGAAACCCUGAUGCAGCGACGCCGCGUGGGUGAAGAAGUAUUUCGGUAUGUAAAGCCCUAUCGGCAGGGAAGAAAUUGGACGGUACCUGACUAAGAAGCCCUGGCUAACUACGUGCCAGCAGCCGCGGUAAUACGUAGGGGGCAAGCGGUAUCCGGAUUCACUGGGUGUAAAGGGAGCGUAGACGGCCAUGCAAGCCUGGAGUGAAAGCCCGGGGCCCAACCCCGGGACUGCUCUGGAAACUGUAAAGCUGGAGUGCGGGAGGGGCAGGCGGAAUUCCUGGUGUAGCGGUGAAAUGCGUAGAUAUCAGGAGGAACACCGGCGGCGAAGGCGGCCUGCUGGACCGUAACUGACGUUGAGGCUCGAAAGCGUGGGGAGCAAACAGGAUUAGAUACCCCAGUAC